This 587-nucleotide ribosomal RNA is filed under the name Saccharomyces cerevisiae (brewer's yeast). RNAcentral describes it as "partial large subunit ribosomal RNA". It matches the Rfam family "Eukaryotic large subunit ribosomal RNA", at positions 67 to 667 of the family's 3401-position model. Lineage: Eukaryota; Fungi; Ascomycota; Saccharomycetes; Saccharomycetales; Saccharomycetaceae. The record is from RNAcentral.
ACCGGGGAUUGCCUUAGUAACGGCGAGUGAAGCGGCAAAAGCUCAAAUUUGAAAUCUGGUACCUUCGGUGCCCGAGUUGUAAUUUGGAGAGGGCAACUUUGGGGCCGUUCCUUGUCUAUGUUCCUUGGAACAGGACGUCAUAGAGGGUGAGAAUCCCGUGUGGCGAGGAGUGCGGUUCUUUGUAAAGUGCCUUCGAAGAGUCGAGUUGUUUGGGAAUGCAGCUCUAAGUGGGUGGUAAAUUCCAUCUAAAGCUAAAUAUUGGCGAGAGACCGAUAGCGAACAAGUACAGUGAUGGAAAGAUGAAAAGAACUUUGAAAAGAGAGUGAAAAAGUACGUGAAAUUGUUGAAAGGGAAGGGCAUUUGAUCAGACAUGGUGUUUUGUGCCCUCUGCUCCUUGUGGGUAGGGGAAUCUCGCAUUUCACUGGGCCAGCAUCAGUUUUGGUGGCAGGAUAAAUCCAUAGGAAUGUAGCUUGCCUCGGUAAGUAUUAUAGCCUGUGGGAAUACUGCCAGCUGGGACUGAGGACUGCGACGUAAGUCAAGGAUGCUGGCAUAAUGGUUAUAUGCCGCCCGUCUUGAACCCCCGAACC